Esox lucius (northern pike) is the source of this 2404-nucleotide long non-coding RNA. RefSeq lists it as uncharacterized. The record is from RefSeq and is a predicted model, not a curated record. Lineage: Eukaryota; Metazoa; Chordata; Actinopteri; Esociformes; Esocidae. The transcript is spliced from 9 exons.
GUCUGAUGUAGGAAAAGUAGUAUGGUAUCCAUUUAGAUAUAUAUGUAUUUUAAUCUGUUUCAUAUUCAUGUGAAAGUGUUUUUUGCUAACAAUGUAUCGUUUCAAUCAUUGUUAAUGUGGUUAAUGCCAGACAUGGCUAAGCAUUUCACAUAGCUAAAUGUUCUAAUAUUGACAAGCUAUGGUUUCUAUAAUAUUAAAAUGAACAUUGUGUUUCCAAGAAUGUAAUUUUUCAGUCCAAAACAUGCAUGUAUUCUUCACAGUCUAAUUAAAGGGAUGGCCGUUAGCUGCAGUUUAAUUUUGAUAUGGUGGAGUGUAGAGGGUUAAUAACCUUUUGAAUCCCAAUUGUUCUGUUGUAUUUCAGUACAUGAAAGUCAUAUAGUUGUCAGGGGCCCAGGAAACUUCAGGUUGAAUAAUGUAUUGAAUAGGCAAAUUGUUUGACUCCAGUGCUCUUUUUGAAAUAUAUAAUGAGAUACAUUUUAUGUAAAUACAUGCUAAUUUGUAAGGUGACUAAUUGGUUAACCAAAAGAAAAAGUAUUACAAACUAAAGAGCUAAUAUGAUACCAGUACAAUAAUGUCAUUAUUUGGCCAUUCAUGUUGUUAAAAAGUUAGAAGAAAUUCUGCAAAUGGAACUUUGUCCUAUUUAUAAAUAAAAUGCCCCCCUUGUUGUUCUCUGUCACCCCUUUGCCAUCCCAUGUCUACAAUCCUGGACAUGCCACUGAGAAUCCCGUGACAGUAAAAAUAUGAAAUGCAGACAUCCCAAGUCUCCCGGAAAUUCCGGAAGUCUCCCGCAUAUUGAUAGCGGCUCCCUGAUGCCCGCAAAUGAGUUAAAAUAUCCCGGAAUUUAGAACGAGUGAUCACUGGAGAAGGGUCCAACUGCAGCUUGCAGCAGUCGCUCACGCCAGGCCCCCUGCUCACGCCGCGCCCGCUCACGCCGCGCCCCCGCUAGCACGCAACUUCCGACUUUCAGACAUGUACGGUUUGUUUACAAAAUGCAGAUGGACCAUAUUGCCAUAUUGAGUCAUGGCGGCAACAACUCCCGGGAAGCACCUGGGUUUCCCUCAUCAAACUACUGUAAAUUCUUGUGGCAUCUUAAUGUUGAUGGUAAAUUGCUUUGUAGUCUCUGAUUAAAGGUUUUUGGGUUUUUUCUAUUAUCUGAAAAUGUAAUAACCUCACAGAUCUUUGCCUUUUACACUUUACAGUAUGCACUCAGCCUGAGCACAGAGGCUCCAUUUUGGUUAAUUGAGGUCAGUAUUGUUCUUCUCACAUAGGAGCAAGUAUAAGAGGAACUUAAAUCCACCCUAACAUGACAUUGACUUUGGUUAAUUGUUUACAAUUUCCAGAAGUCUAACUAAGCAUGAUCUAUAAAGUACUUUGCACUACAGUAUUAACCACACAUCAAAGAACUGUUUGUGGGACUAUUUAACAUGGCUCUAUAACUUUUUGUACUCUGCUGUAAUUGACAUGCCAAUGGUUUGCAGACAAAUAGUGAUUUGUGACUGAACAUGAACAUUACUCAACUUAAAUAUUCUAUUUCUUUUAGAGGGACAUGGCACGCAUCUGAAAAUGGUGGUGCAUUAGUCUAAUGGAACGGUUCCAGAUUGACGGCCAUGGACAGAGGUUUGCAUACUGGACUAAUGAGGCCAGAGCAUUGCUCCAAGGUUCACUGCAGCCGAUAUACAGGGUCCCAAAGGUCAGCAAGAGGAAACAUGAGGUUUCGAUUAGAAAAUGAUGACAGGUGCAUCAUAUUGGAGUUACCAACGUGUGUGCUUUCUGAAAUCCUAAAUGAAGUGGUACUACAGGAAGGAGAUAAGGCAUACUUAAGAUUGGCUCUUGUGUGUACCACCUUCAGGGACACUGUGUCCACUGACUCCUUCAGGAGACGGGCACAUUUUCAGUGGCUUGACAGUGUCGCUACAUGGAGCAGGUUUUCUGAGUCCUAAAGAAAAUAAUUCUACACCAUGUACACCGUGGACACCUGUCGUGAAUGUGGAAUGCUUUUCAAAAACUGCACACCUGGAUAUGUUGGAACAGGACAAAGGGGUGUACUUGAAGCAGUUUACUCAGAAGACCCACAUCCCGGUUACUGCGAUCACUUUUGCCGCCAAAUGCAAUAGUGAGAACGGACACGUAUACUAACUGUUGGCAGACAACCCUGAGCCAGCUGGGUGUUUUUUGGGUGUGGCUUGAAACUUGGGAUUGAAUUUUGAAUUCUCCAGUGUUAUUACAGACUGUUAAUUAAUUGUUUAUGACAAAAAAGAAAUGUCAUAUGUUUAAACAACCUUUGGGUGAACUUUUUGUAUAAUUUUAAAAAUGUUAAAACUAACAUCUAUUGAGAGUCUACUUUAUGCUUUUUUGGUUUUAAUAACGUCCUGUUCAAUGUGUAAUAAAAUUCAAAUCCUCUGAA